CCUACGGGAGGCAGCAGUGAGGAAUAUUGGUCAAUGGGCUUACGCCUGAACCAGCCAAGUCGCGUGAGGGAAGACUGCCCUAUGGGUUGUAAACCUCUUUUGUCAGGGAGCAACGCCGGCUACGUGUAGCCGGACUGAGAGUACCUGAAGAAAAAGCAUCGGCUAACUCCGUGCCAGCAGCCGCGGUAAUACGGAGGAUGCGAGCGUUAUCCGGAUUUAUUGGGUUUAAGGGGUGCGUAGGCGGAAUGCCAAGUCAGCGGUAAAAUCGCGGGGCUCAACCUCGCUCCGCCGUUGAAACUGGCGGUCUUGAGUGGGCGAGAAGUAUGCGGAAUGCGUGGUGUAGCGGUGAAAUGCAUAGAUAUCACGCAGAACUCCGAUUGCGAAGGCAGCAUACCGGCGCCCAACUGACGCUGAAGCACGAAAGCGUGGGUAUCGAACAGGAUUAGAUACCCUAGUAGUC
Molecule: ribosomal RNA, 460 nt
Filed under: uncultured bacterium
Lineage: Bacteria
Description: partial 16S ribosomal RNA
Rfam family: Bacterial small subunit ribosomal RNA
Source: RNAcentral